CACAAGGAAACAACAACAACGCCUUCACAAAUAUGCACCAUUUUUUGCCCCCUCCUCUUUUUUCCCGAAACCCGUCUGAAUUCCAGGGACUGGCACCUCCCUCAGACAAAAACUUGUCACUUUCAUCUGCGACGAUCUAGCGUGACUCCCCUGCAGCUUCUGUGGUCAUACAUUCCCCCCGUUGCCAGGAUGCGAAGCUCAGACAACAGAACGUCCUUGUUGUUUGAUUCGACACGGCCAGCAGUCACCAUGAGGACCCAGUGUGCCACUGUGGAUUUCGUACUCCGCGUACUAAAGG
RNAcentral lists this long non-coding RNA (298 nucleotides) under Scleropages formosus (Asian bonytongue). Its description in RNAcentral is "lncRNA (ENSSFOG00015028617.1)". Lineage: Eukaryota; Metazoa; Chordata; Actinopteri; Osteoglossiformes; Osteoglossidae. The record is from RNAcentral.